UGUUGAUGUCAUCCACUUAUGUCAGCCU
RNAcentral lists this non-coding RNA (28 nucleotides) under Homo sapiens (human). Lineage: Eukaryota; Metazoa; Chordata; Mammalia; Primates; Hominidae. The record is from RNAcentral.